Molecule: ribosomal RNA, 492 nt
Filed under: uncultured bacterium
Lineage: Bacteria
Description: partial 16S ribosomal RNA
Rfam family: Bacterial small subunit ribosomal RNA
Source: RNAcentral
AGUGAACGCUGGCGGUAGGCCUAACACAUGCAAGUCGAACGGCAGCACAGUAAGAGCUUGCUCUUACGGGUGGCGAGUGGCGGACGGGUGAGGAAUACAUCGGAAUCUACUUUUUCGUGGGGGAUAACGUAGGGAAACUUACGCUAAUACCGCAUAUGACCUACGGGUGAAAGCAGGGGAUCUUCGGACCUUUCGCGAUUGAAUGAGCCGAUGUCGGAUUAGCUAGUUGGCGGGGUAAAGGCCCACCAAGGCGACGAUCCGUAGCUGGUCUGAGAGGAUGAUCAGCCACACUGGAACUGAGACACGGUCCAGACUCCUACGGGAGGCAGCAGUGGGGAAUAUUGGACAAUGGGCGCAAGCCUGAUCCAGCCAUACCGCGUGGGUGAAGAAGGCCUUCGGGUUGUAAAGCCCUUUUGUUGGGAAAGAAAAGCAGCAGGUUAAUACCCCGCUGUUCUGACGGUACCCAAAGAAUAAGCACCGGCUAACUUCGUG